GGUAAUGUGGCUUAGUGGUAGAGUGCUUGCCUAGCAUGCAUGAUGCCCUGGGUUCAAUUCCUCAGUACCA
RNAcentral lists this transfer RNA (70 nucleotides) under Dipodomys ordii (Ord's kangaroo rat). It matches the Rfam family "tRNA". Rfam says of the family: Transfer RNA (tRNA) molecules are approximately 80 nucleotides in length. Their secondary structure includes four short double-helical elements and three loops (D, anti-codon, and T loops). The record is from Rfam by way of RNAcentral. Lineage: Eukaryota; Metazoa; Chordata; Mammalia; Rodentia; Heteromyidae.